UUUAUUUUAUUUUAACACGGUCUUGCUAAGUUGCUUAGGGCCUCACUAAGUUGCUGAGGCUGGCUUUGAACUCGAGAUUUUCCUUCCUCAGCCUCUGAAUGGCUGAAAUUACACUCAUGCACCACUAUGAUUGGAUACUGACAAUUUUCAGUUGAGUCGUUGCUGUGGUUAUUAUUGUUGUGUUUUGUUUUUGUAUUUUUUAAAUUGGGUUUUGUUCUCAUUUCAAUUUGUUUUUUAUUUUUGUUAUUGAAGCUUUUGAGUUUUUUACAUAUCUUGGAUAUUUACCUCUUGUCAGUAGUACAGUUUGCUAUAUUUCCCCUCAUUCUAUAGGUUGUGUAUUCACUCUGUUGUUGGAGUCUUCUGUUGAGCAGAUGCUUUUCAAUUUGAGAUAAUCCCAUGUGUCUAUUUUUUUCUCUUGUUUCCUGAUCUUUGGGCGUCUUGUCCAAAAAAUCCUAGCCCACUCCAAUAUCCUGACAAUUUUCCAUUUUCUUCUUGUAGUUUUCAUAGUUCCAGGUCUCACAUUUAAGUCUUCAAUCCAUUUUGGAUUGAUUUUUGUUACUGGUGAGAAACACAGUCUACACACACACCCCACAAAAACAACAACAACAACAACAACAACAACAACAAAAACACACUCAGAAGAGCUGGGCAUACAACAACUAUAUCUAAGCCUUGAUGCUAAAUCAAGAAAGAAAUGACAGACUUGUCAACAAAUGGUGUCCAGAACAUCUGGGAGAAAAAGAAACCAAAAAGGUGAAGUUAGAUCUCCAACUCAGACUAUUUGCAAAAUAUAUAGUCUAACCCAGUUAGAGAAGCGCUUUAAAUAGGAAAAUCAAAAUUCAACAUUUUAGAAGAAAAUGGAAGAGAAUGCAUUUUUUGACAAUGAGCUUCAGAAGAAUUUUUAAAAUGAAAACACGGGGGGCGGGAGGGGGGAACAUACUGCCUAAAAGAUUGAUUCGUCUGUCUCCAGAAAAAAAAAAAAAAAAAAAAAACACUCCAGGAAAGUUCCUAUUUCCUGAUGCUACAUCGCUGAUCUGCUUGUUUAACCUCUCCUGUAAACCACAAUGAUUUUGUCACCGUUGCUUUAUAAGAAGCUUUGCUAUCUGUUUUCCUCCUCCCGUUAUUUUUCUUUUAUGGAUGUAUUGCUUUUGUCGGCCUGGUGCUGAAUUCCCGUUUGCAUCUCUCUGCUUUCUUUAGGGUUCAGAUUUUUAUUCCUGGAGUCACCCCUCCUCAGUGCUGCUUGUGCAUGAUACCCAGCAGUAAGAUGGCAGGAUCAUGAAACAGCUUGUUGAUGUGUUGGAUUACAUUGAUGAGUUUUGAAUGUUGAACCAGCCUAGCACAUCUGGAAGGCAUCUCGUUUGGUCAUGGGCACUGACCUUGGGGCUCCAAGAGGGCACCCCCAGCUCCCUUACUCCAAGUACAUCUCUGGGAUUUCACUGGUCCUCCUGACCUCCCUGUGGGAUCCAACUGAAGCUGAGACCACCUAACAUGACUCUCUCACUAAUUUCUUCUCUUUGCUUGAUCCCCUGAUUCGACCACCAGUUCCUCCCAGGAGUCUCUCCUUUGGAGACCAUUUUGCACACAGACCCUCACUUUCCCAUCUGCUCCCCAAGACUCCAGCCAGGAUGUUCAUGCCUGCAUCCCACAUGACCAGGGCUCGUGGGCUCUGGUGGGAAUCAUCCCAGCCAGAUUCUUUUGUUUUUACUUUUGCAUCUCAUUUCUCUCUUGGCUGUCAGAGACACUUUCCAGGAUUCUAAGGAAAUUGUUUGCAAAGAAGUUCGACUCUGCUUUGAACGCUAAAAAAAAGGAAUCUUGUUUGGAUAAAGGUUUUUCAAAGAAACAAUUACAUGUUUUUCCUCCUCAGCUUUUGCACAAUGAAACAUUCAGCCCUUUGACUUUCCAAAUUGCCUCAGCACAAAAUAAUGCCCAACCUCACUGGAGAGCUAAAACAUUGGUAUCUGUUUCUGUUUCACAAUUUUCCCCUUGUAUAGACCCUCUGAGCUCAGGUACUUGGAAGUCCAGGCGGUUGACCAAGUGGACAGCAGUGUAUGUCUGUCCAAAGAUGGAGUGAGCCAUACCACGUACACACACACACACACACACACACACACACACACACACACACACACACACACAUACAGGCUCUGGGAGAAGAACAUUUUUCCAUCGCUGGAUGAAUGAUACUGUCCUUUAGUCUUCUUUUCACUUGUGUGCCUACCUUCGUCUCCUACCCUCCUAUGUGAAACGGACCAUGUUUCCCUCAAUACAACAUGACAUCACCUCUGCCCAGAGUCACAGAUUUCUUUUUAGGUCAAUCCAUCCACAGCUGUCAUCAUAGACAAGAAAUUAGUCUUUUUUCCCAGAAUUCAUAGGAAUCCAUUUCCCCUGCUCAGGGAAUUGAGCUAGGAGCAGCCUUCUUGCAUUGGAUUCAUCCAGGUGAGUCUGAGUAUCAUUUAAAAUGGGUCAGUCUGUUUGAUGACAAUUGGUCAACUCUGGGUAGAUUGUGCCUUUUUAAAAUAAAGACUGUUUUUGGUCAAGGGCCCUCAGGACCUUUUGGCCUUUAAGUCAUACAUUUUUCCUCGAGAGAAGAAAUAUGCCACCCUAACAGGAGAAUUCCACUCACCCAGUUAGGAGCUGCAGAUGACUGUGACCCACUUGGUGGCACUAGGUAGACAUGAUUGGGCUGCUAGAGUCGGAAGGAACUUAUACAGACAUUCAUGCUCCAGACCCUUGACUGACAGAAGAGGAAACUGAGACUUUAGAGAUGAGGACAAACCCCUUAAGUUUCUCUUUUCCUUACAACAUAAAUUGAGUCCUUAAAAAAAAAAAAAGGAAACCUUUGAAAACAGCAGAAAGGAGAUUACUGUCAUCGUUCUCCAAACUCAGCACUGUUAUGGCUGUUCUGCACGGGGACCCGGGACCGUUUUCAUGGGCAGACUCUUUCCCCACCUGUUUGGGUUGGUAAAGCCCCUGAGUUUUAAAAGAAAUUAUUAAUCAUGUCUCUUAUAAAAUCUCAGUUUAACUAACAAUUCUCUUCAUUUCACAAGUGGGAUUCAGCCAGAGGGUUUAAACCCAACAGUACAUCAUCCUUGAUAUUCAAUCAAACCUUCAUAAAUAAAGUCAAUGGAGAAUCCAAGACAGCCAGUCUGAGAAUUUGAGUCAAGAAAAAAACAAACCAUAAAUGCAUUUUCUUUUCUUGGGAGGUAUUUAGGAGCCAGUGGAGGGCAGAAGACAGCCACCUGCAGACAGUGGGCUGUCUGAGUGAAAGUGGUUGGAGGAAGUAUGGAACCGGGGCAGGGGGUGUCAGAAGAGAAGGGCCAUCCCCGGCCAAUAGUGAUGGUCAGGUACAGGCUCAUGAAGGUCAGGUUUCACUGGAUGGGCCAAGUCAGAGAGAGAUGAAGUUUCUAACUCAGACACAUUGCCGCUGUGGUGAUAAUCUAUCAAUAUCUUUUUUAAAAAAUUCUUGAAAUUCUGAGUCUAAAUAAAGAUUUGAAAUCCUAAAAUGAUUUCAGCCAUGCCACUGUAAAAAUUCCAUGGGAAUGCCAUCCUGAUGCAAAGACAAACAAACAGGUCUGAUAAAACACACAAGAGCUUCUCUUUCCCCAAGUCCACAGCCUCAUGAGGGAGACCCAACAAGAAACUGUCCCCCCAGGUGCCCCGAGAUUAACAGGGGCUAGUGACAACAGCACAGGUGCCCACUUCAGAGGGAUGGAUAGGAGGAAAGCUACCCACUGUCUCUGGGAAAGCAAGGGACCAGGAGAGUAGGUGUUUUCACGUCUCUUAGAUGGCAGAAAAGACACAGCUAAUUCAGAGGAGGUGUCCACGGGCACCUUGAAUGGCGGGGACUGACACUCUGCAUAGGAAGUGAUAAAACCCACUUCCUCAGGCUGAAGGUGUGUCUGCACACAGGAACAAAACAAUUUCAUGUCACAGGACUGUGGAUUUCUAGCCAUCUUCCCCUUGGUAAAUUUAAAUUCACUUCUGUAUAUUCUGUUCCAUUCCCAUACCACCCAAGAGUGUUACCGGAUGUAAGGUCUGCAUCGUGGGACUCACUUUCUUGAACUGGGAGAGACUUGAAGACAGUUGUUAAACAUGUGAGUACCAAGACUUUUGCCUUUUUGGCUUAGGAAGGAGAUAUAAAGUGUGCAUUUUUCACUAAUGAAAUCAAAGGAGUCUUCCUGAAAGGCUCUACUUCAACCUGCCCAGCCCACAAGACGGCCAUAGAUGGCUUCCCAGCCCACGUGUCCUCCGAUGAGUCCCAGAGAGGGACAAAGACCCUUUUGUGUCCCUCCUCCACAAAUGGGAAUCAGUUACCAGUAGAUUUAAGAACAAUUGGGAGCUUUUCCUGUUUUAAGACGGAGCUGGAACAAUAGUUCGUGAUGACGAGACGUUGCCAUAAUUGUUUUAAUUGAUGUUAUUCUUGUGUUAUCUCAGUUUAUUGUGUAUUUACAUGCAUUUGCUUAUCACAGGUCAUGCCUGAAAAUGGGCUUCCAGCUCCAUUUACAUACAGAGUUAACAAAUCCGUCGUGGCAUACAUGUGUAUUUCCCAGUCCCACGUGUUUAUCUCCGAUGGGCUCUGCCAUAUGUGGUCGCUAUGUAUUUCAUGCCCACAUGUUUAUAUCACACAGAUAAUCCAUCUGAGAUUGAUUUCAACCUCACUUUUAAGUCCGUGGGACCCGCAGAACAAAUAUGCAUGUUGAAAUACAAGCUGAAGUUGUUAUUUUGCUACAGAAAGAACAAAAAGAGCUAAUGGUUGGGUGUUUUUUUUUUUUUCUUUUCUUCUUCUUCUUUUAACUCUUUGUUAUGGAUCUAUUUAAAAUAAUGUUCCUGUGGUUUGUUACUCGAAUUUGCUAGUGAAAAAGGACUCCGUUGGUACACUGCAGUUCUCUAAUGUCACACAAGGAGUUUCGCCUCGCAUCCCCCCUGUGAAUCCCCCGACCAUCACUAAAAGCAAAAAGACGAUGUAAACAAAACCACAAAGACAAUCACUCCUGGGGAAAUGCAUUCUUACAUCAAGCAUCAUAGCACAGCUAUGAGACUGACACUCUGUUUAUAAAUGAUAAACAUCUAUCCACACAUUCCUACCUGUCUUUCAUUUCCCUAUAUCCGAAGCAGGGCAAAGAAACCAACAGGCGUGCCGGGGGGAGAUGAGGGAGAGGGUCAUUGUUUUAUCGGUUCCACUUACACACUCGCAAGCCACACCUGCACAUCUGGAGAUGUGUUUUCUGUGAGUUUCAUGACUCUGAUGUGUUCAUUCUCACCCAGUCACACCCAUGGGCCGCUCUUGCCAUGAGCCACCCACCACCUUUGCAACCCACGUAGGGAUGUCACCCGGCAGGGAACAGAACCGGGUGAACGAACAGACUGCGGACGUCACUGCACCCGAAAUGGAUCCAUCAUCCAGAUUGGAAAGGGAUCUCCCUCUUGGGCUUUUAGAGGAACAACCACACGCGGAGGACAAGGGAUCUCCUUUAAAGCAGGGGUCCUCGGCAGUGGCUGGCUCUCGCAUUUCAUUUAAUAAAACAUCCAAAUCCAAACUUGAA
This is a non-coding RNA of Ictidomys tridecemlineatus (thirteen-lined ground squirrel), 5543 nucleotides long. Lineage: Eukaryota; Metazoa; Chordata; Mammalia; Rodentia; Sciuridae. The record is from RefSeq and is a predicted model, not a curated record.